RNAcentral lists this unclassified non-coding RNA (1547 nucleotides) under Hevea brasiliensis (rubber tree). Lineage: Eukaryota; Viridiplantae; Streptophyta; Magnoliopsida; Malpighiales; Euphorbiaceae. The record is from RNAcentral.
ACUUCUUCCCCCGGUCGUGGUACACACACGGAAAAGAAUCUCUUUUUCAUCGCAGUAUAGAGGUGACCAACGGGAACUUGGCUUCCUAACUACUUGAAUUAAUAAGGAAAGCGAAAUCAAUCGGCGAGAGCUCUGUACCCCUUAACUAUGGAAAUUGCUUACAGUUACAGUAGCGGUAGCGACAAUCUUUCUACUUAUUAUUGAAGUCGAAAAAACCUCAGUCAAUACGCGAUGCCCCGCCGAUAGAAAGAUUCUUUUAGAAAAAGAUUAUAUCCUAUACGAAUUCUGGUCCUUGAGCCGGUAUGGGCGCUCGACACUCCAACGAUUCCCAUUCAUUCAUGAACUGCCUUGACGACAUGAUGAUUUUCUUUCUAUCAGAGCUAACUAGAGCGCUGCUUGGCCAAGCCGUCUUUUGACCCAUAUAGUUUAGUUGUUGGUGUAAGCGAGGCCAGACAGAUUGGACUUAACCCCUUCAAUCGUACUUGAGUUGCCCACCCUUUUUCAAGGAACUCUCUAGCACCUCAGCUCACCGUAUUUUACAUAGCCUUAAAAAAGGAAAUGGAGGGUCCCGAAUCACCUGUUGAUUUCCGUCCUAUUAGCUUUUGUAAUGUUGAUACAGUUGACGAAACAUUACAUGCUUUUAAACUUUUAUGCUUCAAUCGCCAUUUCGACACACACUCAGGUUUUGAAGCUUAAAGAUCGAUCUCUGGAGAUUGAUGAAAUGCCUAGUCGGAUAAGCAUUCAAUGUCGGAUAACUGUUUUCGAUGUAUUUGAAAGCACAUCCCAAUUACUAUAUAAAAAAAAAAAAAAAGCUUAGCUGCUAUGGUCUUCUUUGACCGGUACAUAAUAGCAUAGGAGCUUAAAACAUGAUAGCCAUUUGUGCUGUAGCAGAACGCCAUUGUUUAUAUUCGUUUUGAUCAGCACUUUAUUCCCUAAUCAAAUUAGGGGUCAUUGUCCAGCAAUGACCGGUGUGGGGAUUCUUCUCAUUCCAGCUCGCCAUCAGAGAAAGUACCCUAGAAAGGCUUUAAGCAGUGAAGGCUCGUUUAGUAGACAGCAUUACGGUGUCCUAUACCCGAUCUCACGAUUAGAAUGAGUUCUUGCUUCUUCUCUUGUCCACGGAGCGCUAACUAUCAAUAUCAUAAGAGAAGUAGGUCAGCUCUUAGCUAGUCUCAUCUCGGCUUCUUAGUUCUUAGCCUUCGGCUUCUCAUUGGACUGAUUCUUCUUUUCUCUAUACCUCGGUGAAAUAGGUAUAUUGGGUCUAUGCGGUGGUUAUAUAAAGAUUUCAGGCCUUUCUUGACCCCAAUGACUGAUUACCAAAUUGUGACCCUAAAGGUGGUUUAUAAGCUUCAAUCUCGGCCUCUUCAAGAAAAUUGGAGAAAGACCGCUCUUAGUCCUCAAAGCCAGAAUCUCUUCAUUCAAAGGCCUGGCCGUAAGCCAAGCAUUAAGAAAUAGGGGCGUAGCGAGAAUGAUUACCCUGAUCUCAGCUAAUAGAAUAUAACGAUCCCAACCAAAUAUGGGGAUUGGAUGAGGUUAGAAGUAGCCGAUCG